Molecule: transfer RNA, 72 nt
Filed under: Camelus bactrianus (Bactrian camel)
Lineage: Eukaryota; Metazoa; Chordata; Mammalia; Artiodactyla; Camelidae
Also listed under: 2 other names
Rfam family: tRNA
About the family: Transfer RNA (tRNA) molecules are approximately 80 nucleotides in length.
Source: Rfam by way of RNAcentral
GAGGGGAUAGCUCAGUGGUAGAGUGCCUGCCUAGCAUGCACAAGGUCCUGGGUUCAAUCCUCAGUACUGCCA